CACACUAAAAUGCUGGGAAGGAGGGAAUCACAUUUUCAUAGGGCAAUCAAAGUUCUCUCUCCGUUAUUAAGACUCACCUCACCAGAUGAGAUGACCGGCAAAGGCACCUAUUAACGCCACAGCUGUUACGCCUAAUAAGCUGAGGAAUCGACUGCUGGGACCUGUGGAAAGUGUGACGARAA
Molecule: long non-coding RNA, 182 nt
Organism: Drosophila arizonae
Lineage: Eukaryota; Metazoa; Arthropoda; Insecta; Diptera; Drosophilidae
Source: RefSeq, a predicted model, not a curated record